UCUGGAACUGCAGAUAUUUCCAUGGGAUUUGUCUCGCAUUUGAGCAUCAACAUAGGCAAAAGCAAUCCCAACAAAAACAAGACUGAUUCAAUUCCAUCUUCAAUAGACAACAAGGUGCAUUCUUACACACACUUCUUAUUGUAAUUGGUGCAUUCUUGCACAUGUUUAUUUUUAAAUUUCGAUGCAUUCAAUUGUGAAAGGAUUUAUGACUUUGAAAAUGAAAGAGAGAGGCUCAUUAUGGAGAAGGACGCAGUCAUUCAAGAGCAUGCUUCCCUAGAAAAUCAAUUGGUUUCUUUACAGACACAGAUAAACAGCCUCACUACAGAAGUAGAUAACCUUAUAAGUAAGGUUAGUUCCAUAAAGAAGGAAUAUGAUCAAGCCCAAUCUGAGCUCAAUUUGAGUCGUUCAAAGAUGAAAGAAUGUGACGCUGAGAUCAGUGCCAUUGUCAAGGAGCAACAGAAGCCUCAACAUAAAAUUAGUGAUGCAAAUGUUAUGAGGAAAAAAUUGGAAAAUGAGGUACUUCAAAUGGAGAUGGAACAGAAAGAUUGCUCCUUGAAGGUAGAUAAGCUACUAGAAAGGCAUAGUUGGAUUGCAGCUGAGAAACAAUUAUUUGGAAAAAGUGAGACAGAUUAUGACUUCUCAUCUCGUGAUCCUCGUAAUUCAAGGAAGGAGCUUGAGAAACUUCAAGCUGAACAAUCUGGAAGAAGGUUAAUGGACAUGCAUCUCAGUUAAUCUGAUUGAUUGCUUUCAGCCUUGAGAAGAGGGUCAACAAGUUAUGGCACUGUUCGAGAAAGCUGAAGAUGAAUACAAUGACUUAUUAUCCAAGAAAAACAUCAUUGAGAAUGAUAAGUCAAAAAUCAAGAAGGUGAUUGAAGAGCUUGAUGAAAAGAAGAAGGAAACACUAAAAGUUACUUAGGUUAAAGUGAACAAGCUAACAAGCUAAAGAAGUCAGUGGAGGAUGAAAUUCAUUUUCUCAAUGGAAGGGUUUCAGAACUUGAAAGUGAUCUUGUGU
Molecule: RNA transcript, 1012 nt
Organism: Magnolia sinica
Lineage: Eukaryota; Viridiplantae; Streptophyta; Magnoliopsida; Magnoliales; Magnoliaceae
Gene name: structural maintenance of chromosomes protein 2-2-like
Exons: 6
Source: RefSeq, a predicted model, not a curated record